GAGUUCCAAAAUGCUUACUAUAAGGGAGGUUUUAAUAGUAUAUGAAAUGUAUUCAAGCAUCAAAUUAUCAUAAUCGGCCAGGAGCUGCACCAAAGUUAAAUGUUAAGAGAGACCUUCAAUAGACCUUAUGAUUCCAUCUUAAAGACAGCUCUGCAUGAUUUCAAUUUGAUAAAGAUAGUAGAAAAAUUAUUGUCAAAGCCAUUGCAACCAGAAGGUGCUGACUCUAUCCUUUCAUUUCCAGUUAAUUUAAUUGCUUUAUGUUUGCGUUAUAUAGUAUUAUAACAUAGUGGUUGGAUUGCAGGUAUGUCAUAUGAAAGAGAAGAGAGUCGUAACUAUUGGAAGAAUGAAGAUCAUUUUCAAGAUUAACCAUAAACUAGAUACAGAACAACCAACCUCUACAAAAU
RNAcentral lists this long non-coding RNA (404 nucleotides) under Citrus maxima (pomelo). RNAcentral's name for it is "long non-coding RNA (CMAX_LNC000469)". Lineage: Eukaryota; Viridiplantae; Streptophyta; Magnoliopsida; Sapindales; Rutaceae. The record is from RNAcentral.